GUGGGGAAUAUUGCACAAUGGGGGAAACCCUGAUGCAGCGACGCCGCGUGAGCGAAGAAGUAUUUCGGUAUGUAAAGCUCUAUCAGCAGGGAAGAAAAUGACGGUACCUGACUAAGAAGCCCCGGCUAACUACGUGCC
RNAcentral lists this ribosomal RNA (138 nucleotides) under uncultured bacterium. RNAcentral's name for it is "partial 16S ribosomal RNA". It matches the Rfam family "Bacterial small subunit ribosomal RNA", at positions 354 to 509 of the family's 1533-position model. The record is from RNAcentral.